This 253-nucleotide ribosomal RNA is filed under the name uncultured bacterium. RNAcentral's name for it is "partial 16S ribosomal RNA". It matches the Rfam family "Bacterial small subunit ribosomal RNA", at positions 524 to 776 of the family's 1533-position model. The record is from RNAcentral.
UACGUAGGGGCCGAGCGUUGUCCGGAAUUACUGGGCGUAAAGCGUGCGCAGGCGGUUUGUUAAGUCCGUUGUGAAAGCCCCGAGCUCAACUUGGGAAUUGCAGUGGAUACUGGCAGGCUGGAGUACGGUAGAGGAAGGUGGAAUUCCCGGUGUAGCAGUGAAAUGCGUAGAUAUCGGGAGGAACACCAGUGGCGAAGGCGGCCUUCUGGACCAGUACUGACGCUCAUGCACGAAAGCGUGGGGAGCAAACAGG